CUCGGGGAGCUAGUGGAGCAGCAGUUCGGAGUCAGUGGUCGGGUAGCGGUCAAAGGGAUUAGCAGCAACAGUUCAGCAGUAUCAGGUGAGUUUCCCUUUGUAUGAAUGGGUCUACGGCCACAAUGCCGGCCCAUGUAGUUAUGAGUAGAAGACCCGGGGGUUAGCCCUAGGCACAGUAUGCUAGUAUGGUAUUCGGACGAGGUCCAAUGAUAGAGGGCGGGUGCCCAAGGAGUGGUUUAUGUGAUAGUUUAUACUUGUUGUCUGUGUGAUACAUGUACGUGCCUGGUAGGAAGGUGAGUGGGGGGCGAGGUCCCGUAUCUCACCAAUAGCAGAGUGUGGAUGGUGUUCCACAUCUCAGUAGCAGCAGUACAGGGGCGAGGCCCAAGCUAGGAAAAGAGUGAGGACGGGCGGGGCCCGUAUCUCACUAUCAGCAGGAGUAUGGACGAGGUUCCAUGACUCAUCAGUAGCAGGACACGGGCGGGGCCCGGAGAUAGGCGAGGCCUUGGAGCAAGAGUUGUUAGUAUAUGUUUAGCUUAUGUGUUGUUAUGUGAUAUAUGUAUGUGCUAGUAUAUGUUAGUGGGCGGGGCCCUGUGACAGGCAAGGCCUAAGUGAAACAGAUCUGUAUCCGAGCGGGGCUUGAAGCCAGGCGGGGCCUGGAGCCGCGGGGCCGUUGUAGCGGGCGAGGCCCGAAGUAGGGGGCGAGGCCUCAGAUAGCGGGCAUGGCCCAGUAUGUGCAGUAUGUGGUCAUGCAUGGUAUGUGGUAGGGUUGGGAACUCACUAAGUUUCGUGCUUANGUUUUCAGUUUUGUUUUCAGGUACUUCCGGUAGCGGAGGGAGGAGCUCGGGGUGAUCGCAUGGCACACACCAUAGAGUAGUCAGCCUGGGAAUGUUUACUCUGAUAAUAAACAUGUGUUUUGAAAACUUAUACUCAAAUUAUGUUUUGGAAUGAUGACUUUGUUUGAAGUAAUGUUUUAUUAAAAGAAAUUUUUGGUCUCGAAUUUUGGGUCGUUACAAGUUGGUAUCAGAGCCUUGGUUUGAGGGAUUCGAGCAUACUCUCGGGUGUGGCUGAACUCAAACUGAGGGGUUGGAUAAAAAGUUUUCAAAAGCGAAAAGACAGUUUUCUAAAAAGAAUUUUGAGAACAAAAAGCAGUUUUAGAAAAACAAAAAGAAUCCAGAAAAAGAAGAAUUUUGAAAAGAGAAAAAGGGGUGUGGUGCAUGCAAUCAACCGAGCUCAAGUAAGUACCCCAAAAUACCCAUACAAGUUUAUAUUAUGAUUAUCAGUUGGUAGAACAGCAUGCUAGAAUAGGACUAAGGAUCUAGGGAUGAUGCCUUAUGUGCCUGUUAUUUGUGCUUUUGAGCUGCAUAGUAGUGCUAAGUAGACAGUAGUAGGAUAGCCUGUUUAGGUUAUACCUGAGAUAUGAGUUUGUGUUUCAUGCUAGUUCAGAUUCUUGCUAUGUGGAUAUGAUUUCUUGAGUAUGUUAUGGUUAGAUUUUCCUUUGUUCGAAUGCUGCUUGCUUUGUGUAUUGUGGGAUUCUGAGUGAUGGGAGUUAGCCAUUAGGUGGAUACGACAAGUCACAUGCGAUCAGGGUUGAAUAAUCUCAGAGUGCUGGAUUUGGUCCUAUUACGCAGCUCUCGUCUGAGUCCAACCGUUGUAGCGACGAGUCUUUUACUUGAAGGAUUAUCUGAGCCUCGUUGCAUGUGAUGGUAUCCAGGUGAUGGCUAAUUGGCAUCAUAAGGAGACCUUCAGUAGGUUUGUGUUGAGUUAGAGGUUUCCCUAGGGUAAGCCUAGGAUGAGAUAGUGCUGGGAGCAGUAGUAGUGGUUAAGGGGUCUGGUGGAGUCAAAGCAAUUCCUGAGGAAAGUACGGAUAGAUAUGGAAGGUAGUAUGGGCCCGUACUACUGAAAGCAAAGGAUCCGUACUCGAUUCGGGAAGGGCCGAGACAAGACCAGGAACCUGGUAGGGUAUGUUUGGUCUCACAUCAGUGAUGAGUAUUCUAAUAGUGGUUGUGGUAUAUUUUCAGCAUGGUGACAUUGCGAGAGAGACCAGCGGGCGGGUCAGGCGCCGGAGAGGGAUCAGGCUCGGGUUUAGGGACCGAGCAGCUCGAGGAGCAGAUGAGAGAGUUGAUAUCAGCUGAGGUUACGCGCAGUAUUCUAGCUCAGACUCCUGUGAUCUUUGGCACGGUCAAGGAGGGUAUACUGGAGAUCUUGGAUGAGAGGCUGGGAGCCUUCCGUACUGAGAUGAUGGCAUUGAUGGGAGCGCGUACUCUGACAUUUCGAGAGUUCAGAGCCUGCGGGGCACCAGAUUAUCAUGGGGCUAGGGACCCCAUUGCUAGCAGCAGAUGGUUGGCUGAUGUUGCCAACGCUUUUCGUACGAGCAAGUGUCCCGAGGGGGACAAGGUUAGACUCGCCUCCUGUCUUCUGAAGGACAGAGCGAGGGAUUGGUGGGAGGAGAUUGGUCAUGCUUUGGGGGAUGAUGCCGCGUUGGACGCGAUGACUUGGAGCGAUUUCUCGGCCAGGUUCAGGGCGGAGUUUUCGCCGAUUAUUGAGGUGCAGCAGCUGGCACGAGAGUUUCAGGAUUUGACGCAGACUACUGAGACUGUGGCGGAGAUCACCGCCAAGUUCAGGGAGAGGGCUCUUCUUGUACCGCAGUAUGUAGCGGAUGAGGAGAUGAAGAAGGCUCGGUACCAUGAGAUGUUGAGGGACGACAUCAGGGAGUUCGUGAGCAGGUCCAGCUGUAAGACGCUGGAAGAUAUGAUUUCUCGGGCUAGGGAAAGGGAAAUUGAUUUGGAGCAGAUCCGGAAGAGGAAGCCGGAUGAGGUUCAGGUAUCAGCGGGUUCGNAUUGAUUUGGAGCAAAUCCGGAAGAGGAAGCCGGAUGAGGUUCAGGUAGCUGUGGGUUCGGGCAAAAGGCCCAAGGGAUCGGAUUCGAGAUCGAGGGAUCAUCAGGACCGCAAUCGGUGCGGAAAGUGUGGCAGGGCGCACGGGGGCGCGUGCAGGAGUGGUAGCCGUGGUGAGUCUGGUUGCUUCAAGUGCGGUCGGACUGGUCAUUUCAGCAGGGAUUGCACUGUUACUGCCGCGCAGGAAUCAGACUUGAUAUGUUUUCAUUGCAACCAGCGGGGCCACAAGAAGGCCCAGUGCCCCAGUUUGUCUUCGGCAGGACGGGUGAUGGCACCCGCCCUUGCAAAUUUGAGGAUCACAGAUGGCCGUCAGGGCCGGGUAGAGGCACAUGCAGCAGGGAGCAGGGCUUUUCAGAUGACGACCUUGGAGACGCUAGCGACGCCGGACGUUGCAGGGAUGCAAUUUCCAUUUCCAGUUCUUUUAUUUGUGCAUGAUUAUGUUGUUAUGAUUCUGCAUCAUCAUCGGUAUGAGUAUUUUAUUUAUGUGCGGUUGAUUAUGGUCGAGUUAUAUGCCAUCUGCAUACCUUGGAUAAUUGUAUGGUAGUUAGGGGAUGUGCUCUAUUGGAGAAGGUUACGUAGGAUGCAGUAGCUGUAGCAUGCUUGGGAGGGACUUAGUAUGUCUCGUUAGAUCAGGAUCGUGUAGUGUCAGAGAUGGAUUGGUUAGAUCCCUAGCUAUGGUAAGCUUGGGUUCCUCAGCAGAUUGAUUAUGGAAUGGUAGCAAGGAUUGGGUUUUCUCUUUGAGCAUUGAGCAACAAGGGGUAAGCAGGAUCGAAGUGGGGGAGAAUCCUCCGAGUAAGCCAGGGUAGGAGCACGCAGACCCAGAAGGAGUGCGCAACCUCCGAGGAGGAAAGGAAGUAGUUCAGCGUUCGAUGGAUUGAGGAUUUCAGGGUUGGGAGUUUGAGAAACUCCCCAUCAGCUAGAGCGUGUGUCGGUAAUGGUUAGUUCGUGGUUGGGAAUUCAGGUUGUUGAUCGCCCGUAUGACUCGAGGGAGUCAGAAUGAGGAUCUUGAGAGCUAAUGGCACAUGGGUGCCUUCGUAUUAGCAGUCAGUGGUGGAAGUGUUGUAAGACUACGGGGCAGCCGUAGCAUUCACUAGCAGUCAACAAUGGAUGGUGAUGUAAGGCUAUGGGUAAGUCGUAGCAUUCCCUAGUCGCUUCGUUAGCGGAGUUGGGGCGAGGCCCUUAUUUUCUCGUGAUCAGAUAGGGAUCGGGAUGGGUAGUCGUUGAGAAUGAUAGGGAGUUGCCUGUAUAGCCCUAGCAAGGUGAGACCUUGGGAGAGGCUGCUCCUGGAUAUAGUUGGGUGAGACCCGUGGGCGAGGCCCGUACGAGAUUAGCAGUGUAGAUAAGACCUGAGAGCAGGGUUGCUCAGUAGUAUGGUUGGGUGGUACCCGUGGGCGAGGCCCAUGGGUUUUUAGCAGCGCAGGUGGGACCUGGUAGGGACCUUAGUGUCAAGUUAGGGGAUCGGGGAUCCCAGGUUUGUAGUGCCUGAGUGGUGGAAUUGUUUGAGCAGUUAUAGGUAGUUGAGGUUUCUUUGGAAGUCGCUGAGAGCGACUUGUGUUGAUGUUGGGACCAGCUACCGGUGGGAGCCGGUAAUCCAGAUAUUGAUAGGUUGGUAGGGACCAGAGUGGUCUCAGUUCAACCGGAAGGCAGAUGAGGAAUGGCAGAAGUAUCCAGUCAGUAGUAGUGCGGGAAGGCGGGUUAUGUUGGAAUUCAGUUAGAUGAGUCGAGGGGUGCUCGACACCAAGUUAUGACAAGAGAGGAGUGUCAGUGGUUACUGGCGGUAAUGACCCGUACUGGAUUUAGCGGGAAUAAGGGAUUGGUGAAGAUAGGAUCUUCACAGUGGCUGAGGAGAUAGUUGUUUUUGGAGCAUCGCCUUGGGAAGGCAAGGGAAUGGCGUGAGGAAAGAAGGGGUGAACCCCUAUAGGUUCAGUGCAGUACUCGGUGAGUACCCGUCGGAUUAUCGGCUAAGUAAGUUGUGUUUCCAGAAUGUUCAGGGUCAGGGUUGACCCGAGAUGGUUAUUUGCAAGGGUUAAUGCUAGUCUGAAUGAUCAGGAGGAAGACCAUCGAAGGUAGGCAGCUGGUGUUGGAACAAUUCGUGGGGUAUUGGAGGCAGAUAGCAGGCGGUGAGAUGGUAAACUUCGAGGACGAAGUUUAGUUUAAGUGGGGGAGAGUUGUAACACCCAGGAUUUUGAAAGCCAAGAAAGUAAAGGAAACCCUAAAUUUAAGAGGGACUCGACGAGUCAAAGGAAGGACUCGGCGAGUCGGAGCGGGAUCCGGGUCGAUAAGAAAGUGACCAACUCGACGAGUCGGCCAAGUGGACUCGGCGAGUCUGGUCUGUGCGAGGAAAACCCUAAAUCCGGGGCUUGGAGCCUAUUUAAGCAUCUUAAUCUUCUUCCUAGGGCUCCUUUACAGCCUCUUGCACCCAGAACGCCGCACCUUAAGCCCCCAUUGUGUUCAUUCAAGCUUCUAGCCAUUUUUGAGUGGGUUUAAGGAAGAAGAAGGAGUGGGAAUCCUUGAAGCAUCAGGGAGUGGCUUUGGAUCUGAAGUUUGGGAAGCAUUUCAGAGCAUUGGAAGGUAUCAAUUCGUUUCUCUCCUCCAUAUUUUUCCUUGGUUAUGAGUUUUGGGGCUUUUAAGCCAUGUUUAAGACCAAUCUUGAGCUUGAGGUCCAGAUCUGAGGUUGCUACCUCAGAUCCAUGUUUAUUUUGGUUUGUAAUCCCAGAAAGUAUCAGCCAUUGGGUGGAAAUUGGAGUCUCUUGGUCCUAAACCCUAGCUAUGGGUGUAUUUUGCCUAGAUCUCCCUCUCUACACGUAAAGUUUGCAACUUUACGUGGGAAAUAGGCUUGGGGAGGGUAGAUCUACAGUUUGGAGCUCAUGCAUGACUCGGAAGUCCUCUGCAUGUAAGUGGAUCUUAGUGGACUCGACGAGUCCUUCGAGUGGACUCGGCGAGUAGCUUGAAGAUGAGGAGGAACUCGACGAGUGGGAUGAACAGCUCGUCGAGUCGGAUGAAGAUGGGCAUGAACUCGGCGAGUUGGAUGAACAACUCGUCGAGUUGGAUGAAGUUUGUCGUGUGCUCGGCGAGUCUGUUCUUAGACUCGGCGAGUCAGGUCGCGUAGUCCCAAACCCUUCGAGUUAAGACUCGAGUCAGCGAGUCGAGCAAGGACUCAGUGAGUUGGUCAGGACAGGAUUCAAGAAUCUGUAGACUCGACAAGUCAGGGGCUGACUCGGCGAGUCAAGUUGCGAUUGGAAGGACUUGAGCAUAAGAACUCGGCGAGUCAGUGAGUGGACUCGGCGAGUAGGGUUGACCUGGAAGGUUGACUUUGACCAGAGUUGACUUGGUUAACCUUUGGAGGUCAGUUAGACUAAGUGUUGGGUUGUUGUUGGUAGCUCGGGGAGCUAGCGGAGCAGCAGUUCGGAGUUAGCGGUCAGGUAGCGGUCAAAGGGGUUAGCAGCGGCAGUUCGGCAAUAUCAGGUGAGUUUCCCUUUGUAUGAAUGGGUCUACGGCCACAAUGCCGGCCCAUGUAGUUAUGAGUAGAAGACCCGGGGGUUAGCCCUAGGCACAGUAUGCUAGUAUGAUAUUUGGACGAGGUCCAAUGACAGAGGGCGGGUGCCCAAGGAGCGGUUUAUGUGAUAGUUUAUACUUGUUGUCUGUGUGAUACUUGUAUGUGCCUGGUAGGGAGGUGAG
RNAcentral lists this long non-coding RNA (6570 nucleotides) under Lactuca sativa (garden lettuce). RNAcentral describes it as "long non-coding RNA (LSAT_LNC007921)". The record is from RNAcentral. Lineage: Eukaryota; Viridiplantae; Streptophyta; Magnoliopsida; Asterales; Asteraceae.